This 495-nucleotide ribosomal RNA is filed under the name uncultured bacterium. Its description in RNAcentral is "partial 16S ribosomal RNA". It matches the Rfam family "Bacterial small subunit ribosomal RNA", at positions 28 to 507 of the family's 1533-position model. The record is from RNAcentral.
GAUGAACGCUGGCGGCGUGCCUAAUACAUGCCAGUCGAGCGAACAGACGAGGAGCUUGCUCCUCUGACGUUAGCGGCGGACGGGUGAGUAACACGUGGAUAACCUACCUAAGACUGGGAUAACUUCGGGAAACCGGAGCUAAUACCGGAUAAUAUAUUGAACCGCAUGGUUCAAUAGUGAAAGACGGUUUUGCUGUCACUUAUAGAUGGAUCCGCGCCGCAUUAGCUAGUUGGUAAGGUAACGGCUUACCAAGGCAACGAUGCGUAGCCGACCUGAGAGGGUGAUCGGCCACACUGGAACUGAGACACGGUCCAGACUCCUACGGGAGGCAGCAGUAGGGAAUCUUCCGCAAUGGGCGAAAGCUUGACGGAGCAACGCCGCGUGAGUGAUGAAGGUCUUCGGAUCGUAAAACUCUGUUAUUAGGGAAGAACAAAUGUGUAAGUAACUAUGCACGUCUUGACGGUACCUAAUCAGAAAGCCACGGCUAACUACGUG